Molecule: ribosomal RNA, 120 nt
Filed under: Cricetulus griseus (Chinese hamster)
Lineage: Eukaryota; Metazoa; Chordata; Mammalia; Rodentia; Cricetidae
Source: RNAcentral
GUCUACAGCCAUUCAGCCAUGAAUGUGUCCAGUCUGGCUGAUCUCGGCAGCUAAGCAGGGUUGGGCCUGAUUAGUAACUUUGGAUGAGAGAUUAUUUGGAAAUAUUAGAUACUAUAGUCU